Molecule: RNA transcript, 10727 nt
Organism: Scylla paramamosain (green mud crab)
Lineage: Eukaryota; Metazoa; Arthropoda; Malacostraca; Decapoda; Portunidae
Gene: nolo
Gene name: protein madd-4-like
Exons: 26
Source: RefSeq, a predicted model, not a curated record
ACAGACAGGUGUGUGAUGGAGUGCCCCGCGGCAAUAACAGGUGUGGUGACAGGUACCUAUCUUUCCCAGGUCGUUGUCGUGACUGGAGCGGAGGUGGCGACGGACGACUCAACCACACCUGAAGACGACCCUGAUAGCGGCUGGUCUCCCUGGUCUGACUGGUCUCUGUGCUCUAGGACCUGUGACGGAGGCGCCGCUGUGCAGACCCGCCGAUGCCUUCACUACGCUGGCUGCCGAGGGGACUCCGUGAGGUACAAGUUAUGCAAUGUAGAGCCUUGCCCUGAAGGAAGCCGGGACUUUAGAGCCGUGCAGUGCUCUGAGUACGACGGGCUGCCCCACAACGGUGCCUCCUACGAGUGGGAGCCCGCGGAGGGGAACGACCCGUGCGCCCUGACCUGCCGCGCUAAGGGAGGAGGACCCGUGGUGACCCUGAACCCACGAGUACAGGAUGGGACUCGCUGCACUCCGGGAUCCCUCGACCUGUGCAUCAAUGGAAGGUGUCAGAAAGUUGGCUGUGACCUCGUUCUGGGCUCGCAGCGGGAGGUGGACAAGUGCGGCGUGUGCGGGGGCGACGGGAGCUCCUGCAACAAGCCCUCCUACAACUGGAACAAGCGUGCCAGUGGCUCCUGCUCGGCGUCCUGCGGGGGAGGCUACCAGAUGCUGUCAGCGGUGUGUGAGGAGGAGAGCAGCGGCCGGCGGGUGUCGGAGGACCUGUGUGAUCCAUCCUCCAGACCCGUGCCCGCCAUCCUCACCUGCAACCCUCACGCCUGCCCCACCACGUGGCAGACGGGGGAGUGGGGCACCUGCUCAGUGUCCUGCGGCUCCGGUGGGUACCAGCUGCGUGAGGUGUUCUGCGCUGAGCCGAGGAACACGUCAGUAGUGCGCGUCGCCGACCACAACUGCGCCCCGCCCCGCCCACGCCACCGCCGCGGCUGCAACCCCCACAAGUGCCCGAGAUGGUAUGAUGGCAUCUGGUCCGAGUGCUCGACAACGUGUGGUGACGGAGUGCAGACAAGAGUAGUCCUGUGCCGCGAUGCCGAGGGGCGCUCCUCCCAGCAGUGUGAGGACGCCCUACGUCCCACCGACACCCGCCCCUGCCGCACCGGAGUGGCCUGCCCCCUGCCCUCCACCCUGGCACACCCCAGACACCAGCCCUACACACCACCGUGGUGGCCGGAGGAGCAGGACGCCCUAGCCAGCGAAGAGGGCCCGGCGCCGCUCCUGCCUCGCCCACAGGCCUUCCUCGGAGGUCAGCAAGUGCCCUCAGAACCCACGUUCAUAAAUGGGAACUGGAGCGCCUGCAGCGUCACGUGCGGAGAGGGCGUCAGAACACGCUCCGUCACGUGCAAGAUCUUCCUGGAAUUCUCCCGCACCGUCGCCGAGCUCCCAAAGAAGCAGUGUCCCGGGGUGCGGCCGCCAGACACCCAGCGCUGCGUCAUGCCGCCCUGCCCAGACGCCAUGACCAGACAUGAAUCUCCUGAUGGCGAGGUGAGCGACGCGGCACAUCACCGUCCUGUCAUCAGGCUGGAGGACGAAGACGAGGACAUGGACGACAGCUCAAGCAGGGACAGAAGGAUCCAUGAGACGCCCUUCCUCCCCCGCCUGGUCAAUGAAGACGAGGAGGACAUGGACGGAGCUUCGAAAACUCCAAAGUCGAAGUCAUCAAAUCAAGAUACGGAAGUGCCACAAGCGCAGGCCUACAACGACCCACACCCGGGGUUGCACUCCUACGAGGCCCCCGGUGAUACCAAACCCCGUGGAGAUCCAGUGCUGCUGUACCCUGGCGAGUACACAUCCAUCGACCUGUUCGACUCCUUGGAAGUCCCCCACGGCAGCAGGAGCUAUUCGGCGACUCCUCAGCACAAGGAUAUGAAUUCAAUAGAGAUCGACGUGAGGAGGAGGAACGAAGAAUACCCAGGAUAUUACCACGUGACGGAGGAGGACACCGCUGGCCCACACACCUACAAGUGGACCACCCUUGGCUUCGGCCUCUGCAGCGCCUCGUGUCUAGGCGGAGUACAGGAGUCAGUGGUUAAGUGUAUCAGAACUUCAGACAAAAAGAUCGUACAGCCUCAGCUCUGUGACUCCCAGAUACGGCCGGAUGUCAUAACCCGCACAUGCAACGACCAGCCGUGCCCUCCACGCUGGAACAUCUCAGAGUUCGGGCCGUGCAACAAGCCGUGCGGGGGAGGCAUACAGAGGCGGGAUGUGAAGUGCAUUCAUGAAGUGACUCGAGGAGGAACGAACACUGUCGAGGUGCCAGACAGCCUGUGCCCUCAGCCUCCCCAACUCGCUAUCCAGCACUGCAACUAUGUGGACUGCCUGCCUGAGUGGGUGCCCGGAAGCUGGUCCAAUUGUUCUGCUUCGUGUGGUGGCGGUGUGAAGACCCGAACGCUUCAGUGCCAGCAGAUCAGGGCGCAGGGGCAGUCCGAGGAGCGGCCCCAGGGGGAAUGUCCCAGCGUGAAGCCUCGCGUCGUCAGGAAGUGCAACCAGAGAGCCUGUCGCAUGGGGCGGGGAAACACGAAAAAGGCAGUUAUCAAGUCACAGGAUUAUCAGGACUUUGUUCAGAGCAACCUGUCCAACAAGCUCACGCUGAAGGUUGGCGGCAAGGCGGCAGUGUUCAGGGGCGUCAAGCUGAAGGUGAAGUGCCCUGUCAGGAACUUCAACCGAUCCCUCAUCACUUGGUGGCGUCACGGGCGGCGGGUAGGCAAGAAGGGUCCCAUCAGAACUACGCCGCGAGGGGUCCUAAAGAUCAGAGAGGUGCGCUUCCCCGACGCCGGAGUGUAUGUGUGUAAAGCCGGGGACUUAGAAGCCAACAUAACUCUUGCUGUCAAGCCAACCUCUCAUGCCAACGAGUCUUCAGGUGGCCAGUUUCCCUCCCAUGGCAGGUCUCCCAAUGAGGUGAGCCCUGGCAGGGAGUUUGUCAGGGGCUCUGCACAUGGCUCUGAAGCAGAGUGGCCAGUGAGGAAGACCAAGUCCAACAAGGGAUCCCGAGGCAGGAGACGCAAGGGUCGGCGCCGGAACAAGGGCACCAAGGGACACAGAGGCUCCCAGGGACAGGGCAGCACAGAGUCUGAGACAGCCCACCAGGAUGCCAUGCCUCCCCACAGCCAGCUGGAGCAAUUCAGAGAGGGACCAUUCAAGGCAUCUAGCAAAAACAUGCACACAGUAGAGGUGAGUAGCAGUGAGGCAACUAACACAUAUGAUGCCCCCAUCUGGCGUUCCACCCCCAAGCAGGACUACGUGUAUGCCACCAUCAACCAUGGUGGCUGGCCUCUCACUGGCCGACCGCGCCACAGCUCCACCUCCAAGGGCACCAGAGAGGAAAGGCCUCCUGUGUAUGGGACCGUCAAUCUCCACAGUAAUACUUCACGGAUCACCAGUGAGGAGAACCAAAUAGUGUAUGGCACAGUUCGGCACAACAUGCUGCCAGGGACAGAGCACUCCAGAAGAAGAAAAUGGGAAGACGGGACGCAGAUCUUUGAGGGAAACUCUAACUAUAUUGAAAAGGAAUCAGAUGCUUACCCUGACUACACAAGGCCUGAGUCAUCCGAGAACCACCUUCCCUCCUCCUCCUGGUCACGUCCCAGGCUGGGGUCUCAGUUCCACCACAGCCAUGGUGACACCCAGAGCCCUGGUCACGACACAGACCGAAGACCCAAUCCUACCUCCGAUAGUUCUCCCACUGUGCACUCCACCUCUACCACUUCCACCACCACCACCACCACCACCUUGGACCACCAUGGUCAUCAGCACCACCACCACAACCACCACCACAACAACCACCAUCUCCACCGCACCCCCACUGGCACCCCUCAAAGGCGCCAUGGAGUCUCCCUUUCCCUGACCCCAGCACCCCCCAACACCAGCUCUGGAGGUUCCCGCACUGUUCCUCCCUUCCAGAAGCUUCUUUCCAACUUGGAGAGCUUCCUUCCGGCCUCCCUCCAGGGCACCAUCAGCUCCCGGGGUGCCAGGCACAUGGACUCUCCCAUGGACGAGUUCAACAACAGGAUGUCGUCUCAUGGGUUUGUGCAGGAUGACAACACAACACGAGACCCACAUGGCAAAGGAGACAUUCUGGGCAAAGGAACAAGAGACUCACUGGAGUUUGAGUGGCAGAUGACUAAUUGGUCUGAGUGUUCUCAGACCUGUGGCUUCACCAGCAGCAGCAGCGGCUACCAGGUGAGGUCCAUCCAGUGCCUUGCCAGAGUGAAGAAUGUGACAUCACCAGUGGAUGGUGCCCUCUGUGUAGAUGCUGGCCUGGAGGCACCAGUCACCAUCCAGCGGUGCGGCUUCACAGAAUGCCCACAGUGGCACUUUGGGGGGUGGUCAGAGUGCGAAUCCUCUCGCUGCUUCACCCUCCACUAUGCCUACCAGCGGCGGGAGGUGGUGUGUAAGCUGCACAAUGGCACCAUUGUCAGCAACCUGCAGUGUGACAACCGGACGCGGCCUCGGCACCGACAGGAGUGCUACAACUACCAGUGUUCAGGAGUGUGGCGCGUCGGUGACUGGUCAGAGUGCACCGCCCCGUGUGGUGGGCAGGGAUAUCGCACACGUCUUCUUCAGUGUGUGUGGAAUGGGACCAAGAAAGCUGCUGGGAAUGCCUGCAGGGAACUGCCACGUCCUGAGGUGGUCCGCUGGUGCAAUGGUGACCCCUGCCCAGACCUCAGUAUGUAAUGUGAAGUGCUGGUCACCAAGUCAGGAACUCGGGCCAAGAGAGGUCGCCAGGUGAAGACGACAGCCAGGAAGUGAAGGGUUGUCGCGAUCGAAGCAAAUACUGCAACAUUGUCAAGAGGAUGAACAUGUGUCGCAUCCAGAGUUACCAACGGCAGUGUUGUCGAUCCUGUCCUCCCUAGCACGCUCCUUCUGCUCCCCCAUCCCUGAGCAGCAGUACUGGUGAGGCAACCCCUACCUCUGCAGUACCCACCAGCCAGGGCACCACAAGCACCACGCCCCAGCCCUGCGCCCCUCGGCCAACGCCAGAACGGGGCCAAUUCAUCCACUUUACUCUGGGGAUAAGCGAAGAAUGUUGAGUUUCAAGCCACAAAUGGUAUCAUGAGAGAAAAAAAAAACAAAAAACAAAAAAAAAACAGGCAGUGUUGAAUGGCUAUCAUUUAGCUUUAAUGAUGUUAAUUCCCUUACAAAGGACGAUGGAACAGUGAUUAAUGUGACCUUAGCUUUAAUGAUGUUAAUUCUUUAUUGUAGUGUACUGGAUUAUGGAAGUUAUUUGACUUAGCUUUAAUGUUACCGCUGGCUAAUGAUUCUGAACAGUGAGGUGCUACAAGACUCAUUAUGCCUCCAUGUGUCACCACAAAUAUUAGAUGCAAGUUGACCAUGGCUUGACAAACAGAAAGCAGCAUUUAUAGAUAAGUGAAUGGUACAUUAUAGGAGGAGAGGGCUUGGUGGGCGUUUCUUUUAAAGUACCUUUUAUGAUGUGGAAGUGCACCAUGUAAAUAUAAUUUAAAUACGUACAUCAAUUGGUAGAAAUAAGGAAGCAACAACAGGAGGCAAUCAUCUCUGUCCAGUAGCUAUAGGGUUGUUGUGUACAUGACCUAGGUUAUUAGUUUAAUAUAUUUUUUAAAUUUUAUAUUUAAAACAAAGGAAAAUAAGGACUCGACAAUUAUAUUUUGCAUAAUACUAAAAAGCUGAAUGCUAUAAACAUUACAAUUCUAUUCAAUAUGCUCUUAAAAUAUGGAGGUAUUGCUUCAUUAUUUGAUGUAACUGCUAAAUUUUGUUUUAAUGACUGGCUUAAUAAGACAAGCCGUGCAGUACCUUGUGUAGGAAGCCCCGGUACUCCUGCCACACCUGCCUGCCAGGUUUGACAUGCAGGUGGCAGAGUGGACUGAGCUGCAUUUGUGACCAAAAUAGCAUUUCAUGGAUCUCAGCUGAAAGAAAUGGAAAAAGACAAAUUAAAACAUAAUACUAUACAUUAAAGCAUGUGAUAUUUUUGUCCUUUUUCUUUUUAAAAAUCUCCAAUGACAAAAUUAUAUUUUUGUUUUUAAAAAUCUCUAAUAACAAAAUUGUAUUCUUGUGUUUCAUCAAAUAAAUUGUGGGUCCAAGUGUUAAAACCAAAUUUGGUGCAUGAAGUAAAGUACUACUGGCCGAGAUACAUAUUUCAUGAGAUUGUAUUUGAUGGUGGUUCUUGAAAAACGUGACUUCUGUGAGGAUAGGUCAAGUGCACUUAAAUAAAAGUUUAACAUUGUACUCAUUUCUGGAGUUUUCCAAAAAGACAAUUUUAAGGACACAAAUAUAUCUUUAUAUUUCUGAAGGACUUACGGCAUCCCCCUGUUGCAUGACUACUGUUAUUAACCAUACCCCCCCAAAAAAAUAAAGUACAUAAUAGCAGUCAUUUAGCAGGUGAGUGGCCCUGCACUAGUCUGAUGGGAGAGUAAGAGUGAAUGAGAGUGUGAGAGAAAGAGCAAAAGUGAGUGCUUCAGGAGAUCUUGAGGCUAAGGGGACUGGGGAUGCAGUUCCCUGCCUAGCCGAAGCACAAAUUAGCUAGGGAGAUAUAAUGAUGAAGCUGCCGUAAGAUGGCACUAGCAGCGUGCUUCAGUAAUGCUAGGUAAUACGGUUUAGAUCAGUGUUUUACGAGUCCCCUUGUGUUGUAGAGCAAUAACACUAAUCAUACAUGUACAGUAGGUAUAUCUUUAUGUAACACAUUGUAACAUAUGCAUAUGUCAUAUAUAUAUAGACUAGAGUAAGGUGGCAGCAGCAGCAAACAGUUAAUGGGUUGUUGUACCAUAUGGUUUCCUUUGCAUUUUCUGCAAUGCUGGUUCACCACCCAAUCUGCAUCAUACAAGGAACUUGGUCUUGUGGUGAUAAGUGAUAUGUGGAACUGCUCGCUCAGUGUUCACCUGUGUACUGUAACUACCAAUGUACUGGUUGUCAAGCUGAUGGGAACUCACCAUGGGACUCCAUCAACAGUAAAAAAUUAAUGAAACAAAGUAGGAGACAUGUUCAAUACUUUAAUUUCUCUUGCAAUAUUUAAUUACUCUGAGUUGUUUGUAUGUAAUGUCCAAGUAUUGCCAUAUUAUUAAGCAUUUACUCUACAGAUAUAACAGAAGACAUAUUGUAUGCAAAUUAUGUAUGGAUAACAAAAAAAUGUACAAAUACCAAACUUGCUGCACUUGACCACCUAUUCUAAAUAAAAUCUUAACGGAAAUGUGGAGAAACACCUCAGUGACAAGCAUUAUUCCACUUCUUACCACAGGACCAAGAUGUAGUCCUACUACCUCACAUUCAGUAGUUGGGUGACACCAGACUCUGCUACAGAACCCACCAAGGAGGGCAUCGCAACUCAAAAGUGCACAACAUAAGAAUGACAAGGUGGAGCAGUAAACCAAACCAAUCCUUUGCCGGUCUAAAUACUUAGAAAUAUAACGAUUCACCUUUUCAACAUCCUGUCAAUUUCACAGCUCACUUAAGUAAAUGAAUUGCUUAGUAAUAAAAUGUAUGAUUGUUUAGUUGGAGAACAUAAACAAUGAAUAACUGUAACAAUGAUCACAAAGAGAAUGAUCAUAUCAGUCAGGUGCUGCACCGUGGAUCUGGCAAUACAAACUAUACUAUAUUCAAAACUAAAUUUGACCUCACUUAACUCUUUGUGUGUGGUGCUGUUCCUCAUGAAGGUGGGCCAUGAGAACACAAUCUGUCAUUCUGCAUGGGAGUGUCACCCCAACACCAUAAGUCACUAUCUAGGCUGAAAUAGGUUGUCAUAUUCUCUUAUGCGCAUGAAUACGCAAUAUUUUGAUCAAUGUUUCUUGCAAUGCUUCAGCUUAUGUAUCUCAAUUUGGCAACAGAUGCAAGAAGCAACUUAAGGCUUACCUCAGCCUCUGGCGGCUUUCUGGAAUAACUCCAUUGGUUGUUUACUUUCACAGAAUCUUCAACAUUAGCUCUUUGCUCCUUGGAACACGGGACAGCAGUAGAGUCAGGAGUAGCAUCAGCCUCUGCAGUCAUAAAAUAGCUUUAGCUGAUUUUGCCCAUAACUGCCAGUGUGUGUGUGUGUGUGUGUGUGUGUGUAUCUGCAUAUGUGUGUUUGUUUCUCCGGCUCAUUCUUUGCCAGUAUCUCCCAAUUAAGAAAUAGAAACAAUGAGAAAAUAUACAUAUGUAUGUGUAACUUACUGUAUCCUAAAACUAGUAUGCAGAUGCUAUAUAUUUUCUUUCUCUUUUGAUAUGACUGGCUAGUACAUGAUGAGGCUGAACCGAGGGGUUUCUGAUAACCUGAUUCAUUCCCACAUGUAUGUGCCACACAAUUGUAUUAGCAGUGAUGAUAAACCAAGGCAAUGGUAUGGUUUACAUAGGAAUGAAGUUUGGGUCUGACAUCCUUACUUCCACUAAUAAACUGGAGAACUAGUAAUGUUACCUUUUUUGCUGCAAGUGUCAGCGUAUGAAGGCAUGCAAGGUAAUGAGUGGUCUUGAAUCUCUUUUAUUGUGUGUUGACUGUUUUGAACAUUAUUCUGCCUUAACAAUAUGUAUAGAAAUAUCCAGCUGUCAUAAUAGAGCAUUUACUUUAGAGAACAUAUUGUGAAGUGGUUAGAUUUUUGUGGUUCUAAAUAAGAGUUUGUCACCUUUAACAUGAGCAGCAGAUACAGUCGUGUAAGGAAAAUGUUGAGAACAAAGGCACUACAGUCAGGAUCAAUAGUUCAGUGAUACAGAACACUUGCUUCCACUGUGAUUAGUGUUUUCCCUCAAUCUCAAGUUCUCAGAUCAAUUAAGAAUCUAUCGGAGGGUCUAAAACUAAGGGAGAAACACUAAACGUAGCAGAAGUGAGUGCAGAUUACACAACUUGCAAUCCCAACUGUACAACUGCCAAAACCUGUGCACAUAUAAAUGGAUAUGGUAAAUUUCAGCCAUCAGCUCAUUAUAAUUACCAGCUGUCACCCAAGAGGCACCAUCAUUUGACUGUAAAUGUUGAUUCAGUGAUGAGGAUUUAAUCAUUAUGCUUUUUUUUUUCCUUUUCACAUGUACAGCCAUGUCAUAAUAUGCCUUGUGUUCUCAGUAUGGCAUCUGUAGACCGUGUGAAGAUGUCCUGAAGGAAAUACACACAAUAUAUAUACGUAUAUGCAUGUAACACGUACUAACAUACAUAAUUUAUUUUGAAUAUGCAGAAUAAUUUAUUUGCCCAUUGAGACUUUUGAGUACAAACUUAACUAAUAUGAGCCUAUGUUACAUAUUAUCGAUUGAGGCUUGAGGAUUUUUUGUUCUAUGAAUUUUUAUGUAAUGACUGACAGUAUUAGACAGAUAGAAGAGCUGAGGACUAUCUUAUAAGGUGUAGUAAUUAUUUUUUACCAUGAAUGCCAAUGAAGAUGUGCAUUCCUUUAGGCUAGGAAAGAAAUAUUUAUACUGCAACAAGGCCUCCCAUCAAUAUAUCUGAUAGAGCAUAAUAGAAGUAAGUCUGCAAAUUUUCCUUCCCCAAGAAUCUCACAUUAUGGAUCAGGGAGUUCCUAACCCUUUGACUGUUAAGGCCGUGGCACCUGCUACUGAGUUACCCUUCAUGAUGUUAGGGAUAAAUGAUAAAACCUUUGAAUUACUCAAUCACCUCUUUGCUGUCAGUGGUAUCGUUUGAUAUACUGUUAACUUGUACCAGAUCAAUUUAAUAAGCUUGAGAAGAACCCACAGCAGCCAAAGGAUUAAGACUGAAUGAAGGAAGGUUGGGUACAUGCAGAAUGUUGACACUCCUUCCUUGGCUGAUUAAAUAUUCCCUAUUAACCUUUUUAUUGUGUGGUUAUGAGACUUCUCUUAUUGAUACCAAGCUACAUUUAACUGAAUACUCUAUUACACACAUGCACUGUAAUGUGGAUAAGGUUCAAAGUGUAACAUGAAUCACUGAAAACCAAUUCUGUCCCACAACAUUCCACUGUUAUAAAAGAAAUUCAUUGGUCAAACAAAUAAAAAGGAAGGUGAACAUGAGAUGCAUUCAAUGAUCUUGUAUAGCAAACAUAUUCAUCACGAGUCAGCUGAACCAUGCACAAAUAGACACUCUGAACCAUAAGCUGCUAAGUUUUGAUACCUCAACAAAUCAGCAACAUGCACAUGAAGCAAUUUUCUUUAGAGUCUGUUAACCAACUGGGAACCUGUACAUACUUAUUUGUCUGUUGAAAGUAGCAGUGUUUGUCCCCCAGGUCUCCUCAAGUAACUCCUCACUACAUUAUCCUUUGCAUUUCAAUAAUGUUUUGGUUUUGCUGCCUCAACUACACCUCAACUUCUGCCUCAAGGUCACUGCCUCACCUUACAGAUUUGUACCUUGGGGUUAACAAUAGAGUUCAGAAACCCACACAGUAAGAAGUUGGUAUUUCUCCAAAGAAAUAUUCCUUGUACAAUAUAUAAGUUUGCCACAUGAAAAAAAUAGAAUAGCAAUACUUGAGCGAGUUUUAAAAUGUGUACCUAUUUCACCCAGAAUGUUAUCUGGAUUCAUUAAUACAUCAAACCCUAUUCAAGUAACCUGUGUGCAUACUUGCUGAUGAAUAUAUGAAAACAAAAACAAAAAAAAUGUAUAAUAUAAUGGUGAAAGUCAAGAGAUGAUCUGUGAGUCAGCCCAUUCCUAAAAUUUGCACUUUUGUAUCUUUUCUCUCUUGCAUCAACUACUUUUGAUGUGUUUCACAUUUCAUUAAUCUUAUGCAUUUAUGAAUUUUAUUACCUAUUUAUUUUUUAUUUACUUGGAUGUGUAGCAAAUAAACUGUACAUAUAUCACUGUAAGUGCAUUGUACAAAUAAAGCACUAGAUUAUGUAAA